This 253-nucleotide ribosomal RNA is filed under the name uncultured bacterium. RNAcentral describes it as "partial 16S ribosomal RNA". It matches the Rfam family "Bacterial small subunit ribosomal RNA", at positions 524 to 776 of the family's 1533-position model. The record is from RNAcentral.
UACGGGGGGGGCAAGCGUUGUUCGGAAUUACUGGGCGUAAAGGGCUCGUAGGCGGCCAACUAAGUCCGACGUGAAAUCCCCAGGCUUAACCUGGGAACUGCGUCGGAUACUGGAUGGCUUGAAUCCGGGAGAGGGAAGCGGAAUUCCAGGUGUAGCGGUGAAAUGCGUAGAUAUCUGGAGGAACACCGGUGGCGAAGGCGGCAUCCUGGACCGGCAUUGACGCUGAGGAGCGAAAGCCAGGGGAGCAAACGGG